AUCCCACAUGUAUUCCCCCAAACUUAGGUUUGUGCCUAAGUUAAGCCUUCACUGCCUAUCCUUGUCAUUUUCUAGUUCACCCUAGCAUUAUCCUUUAGAAACUUUUUAUGUAUCAAUUUGAACUAACCGGUCAACAAAGAUGUUAUUAGUGCUACCCCUUUUAUAACAGUUUCAAACAAGUCCAAGAAUCGAUUCAUAACAGAAAUUAUAUCAUAGUUCUAAUAAUCCAUACUAUAUUGGUUAACUUGUUCACAA
RNAcentral lists this long non-coding RNA (255 nucleotides) under Panax ginseng (ginseng). RNAcentral describes it as "long non-coding RNA (PGIN_LNC004091)". Lineage: Eukaryota; Viridiplantae; Streptophyta; Magnoliopsida; Apiales; Araliaceae. The record is from RNAcentral.